Molecule: non-coding RNA, 1403 nt
Organism: Aegilops tauschii subsp. strangulata
Lineage: Eukaryota; Viridiplantae; Streptophyta; Magnoliopsida; Poales; Poaceae
Source: RefSeq, a predicted model, not a curated record
AUUGCUUUCCUUUUUCGACUUCACUAAUUGCUCCACGGAGCUCCGCCGAUCUUACAGCAGCAAUGGCCGGAGCAGGAGAAGAUGACGGCGAAGUAGCUCUCCUCCUCCUCCCGCUCCCUCCUCUAGGUCAGCAAACAAGCAGAUCGAUCGACUGCGAGAUCCUUCCCCCUUAUAACCCGCCGCUCCUCCCUCCCUGCAGCCCACGGACGCCGCAGCGGCGGAGCACCGCCACGGCGUCGGCGACGAGCCUUCCUUUCAGGGAGAUUCAACCUGUUGAAGUUGGAAAAUGCUCUGGACGUUCCACUGUAAUCUGUGUUUUUAUGGCCCCAGUGAUCUGGAUUAUCACACUGAUGAACAAUCCAUUGAUGAUUUUCUCAAAUAAAACGAGCUAAGUUCCUUGAGGCAUAGUGUGAUAGGUAUUGAUAAGUUAUGCAUCAGGUGUGGCUUGCACAAAGAGGACUUUGAUCAUCUUGACAGCUGGAUUGGCUUUGCUGCUUCAUCAAAAACAAAGCAAAGAUCAUAUCUUUUGACCCGAAGAAACUUAUUCGCCAUCCGAAGAAGUUCAUGUUCAUCACUUUCGUCUUGAGGCCUUGGGUGUUCAAGGCAGAUCUUGUGUGUAGUUCUUGUUUCUCGCUGCUGUUUCUAUAAAGCCACACUCAGGUAUAUAUGGAUUAAGUAUACCACGCUAACUUGACAAACUUCGACAUUUACUAAUUGACAGAAUGAAUGUUGAGAUGGUUGAGUUUCAUGCUGCCGAUCUUUGCUCAUUUUUAGUAGGAAGGACAAGAGAUCCCUAUAGUACUUCAUGGGUGCUCCAAAUUAGAGAAGGCUACGAUAAUGUUCAGAGGCAGCAAUGGACUGGCCCCUGUAUUCACUUUAGUUCCAAGCAUUUUGCCAGUGAAGAUACUAAUUGUGCAAGCUUAUAUACAUGGAUAUGAGCAGAAUCUGACAACACCACCACAUGGCACGUUUAUGCAUUUGAGCCAUAUGACUUGUCAAUUAAUUGUCUUCUCUGGACAACCAAAUGCCCAUAAUGGAAUUCUUCAACUUGCCCGCUGCUUGGAUGUUGCGCCCCGACUGGUGAAGUUGCAUUUGGAUAUGGUAUAUCUGAACCUUGACGACGGUGGGAGUGAUGAGGUGAUGGAGGAGGAGGAAGUGGUGAAUGCUCAAACAAAGUUUGGCGUCGACCGAUCGCCGAUGGUGGUAUCGUAUAUUCAUAUGUAAUACUGAUGAUGGUGGGUGCUGUAAGCCAGUUCGCCGGGUUUCUUGAGAGUCUGUCGUGCAAAGAGAUAAUGAUGUCAGUGUGAUGGUUAAACUCGCUGUGUUUUAUUUUUCUGGGGCAACUAUCACACUCAACACACAUCUUUAAGUCUAUGAUAUAUACUAGAAGGAACCUGGCUGUA